AUGGAGCUGCAGCAUCCCUCAGUCUCGGGCCCUGGGAGGGGGAAGGGAAAAGACCGAGCAGUGGAGGGAAGAGGGAGCCAUUUCUCUCCACUGGCUGCAACCUCCGUGCUCACAGCUCACGUUUGCCUGGAAUCCAGGGGCUUCCUCAGCCAAGGACUCCAUAAUGCUGGAUAUUUUCAUCCUGAUGUUCUUUGCUAUCAUAGGCCUGGUCAUUCUGUCCUACAUUAUCUAUCUGCUCUAGUGGCCUGCAGCUGCGGCGGGGAGCCCUCAGAACAGCUCAGGAUGAAGCUGACUGGCCGAGCAUCCUGCUUUGCUGACGCACCGGUGGAUUUUUGCUUCUGGUCAUUAUUUCGGCUCCUGGUCUCCAGUCCAACCAGAGGCCUCUUAUCAGCAGCAACCGUCCUGCUGCCCAGCAGACCUCUUCCAGAGCCUUCCGGAUAUGGUUAACCACUGGCGAGCAAGGGGCUUUUUGAGCUCCGAGGCAGAGGCCCUCAGCUGGGACCUCAGGAAUUCGUGGGCAUGCCUGGCAGAUGCCGUGUGCGUUCGAGCCGUAUGUAGAUAGAGGGUGUUGAGGACCCGGAGCUGAAAUGCAGACUCAUUAAAGUUACCAUGGAGAACUGCUCAAAUACUCAUCCUGACAGCCUUUCUUUAGGUGUAAGUGCAACAUAUGAUGCUAAAAUAUGUUCUUUCCUUUCCCUCUCACACGCAGGGGGUCCCUUGUAAGUUCAAGAGCACAUCUGUCUUCGUCUAUGAAGUAGUCACCUUGUCACUGUCUUACAGACUGCAGUGUGACCUUGUGUGGUGGCCCUUGUCUUGCUCUCCAGCCAGAAGGAACUUGUUGUUUGAAUUUUUAAGAUUUAUCAUAUUUUUUUCCACUCCAUACCCCACCUUCUCAUUUCAAGAGAGAAAUGGUUAUAUGGUCCUCAUUCUUUGUGACUGGCUGAAUUAUAAAUUAUUGAAAUAGGGUAGUUAUACCUCAUCUUACUUGUUAUUUGGGGGGAAAAAAAUCUCUCUCUUACUCCCAAAUAAAUGUUUUUUAUAUUGUCAAAUGUUCCUUGUCUGUAAAAAAAAAAAAAAAACCUUUCAACAUUUUUGGGGGGGGUCCAAUUAGGGUUGAGGAAACCAUAUAUUGUGGAAUUCAGGGUAGACGUGGGCCCCAAAUCUGUGGUAACUGUUCCAUUGAAAAGUCCAUCAUAUUUGUUCUACAUUUGAUUUUCCUUUCUAGCUUAAAAAUAAACAAGGAGAAAGAUUAA
Non-coding RNA from Leptonychotes weddellii (Weddell seal), 1253 nucleotides. NCBI's taxonomy places the organism in Eukaryota, Metazoa, Chordata, Mammalia, Carnivora, Phocidae. The record is from RefSeq and is a predicted model, not a curated record.